This is a non-coding RNA of Mycena galericulata, 101 nucleotides long. NCBI's taxonomy places the organism in Eukaryota, Fungi, Basidiomycota, Agaricomycetes, Agaricales, Mycenaceae. The record is from the annotation of a GenBank genome assembly.
GCCGACGUUGGCCAGUGGCAGGCCCAUCUCGUUCUAUUAUCUAGAAUGUGAAAAUCAUGAGAUCUAUGAGAGCUACGGAGGUUCGAUUCCUCCCGACGGGG